AGCAGCCGCGGUAAUUCCAGCUCCAAUAGCGUAUAUUAAAGUUGUUGCAGUUAAAAAGCUCGUAGUUGAAUUUCGGGAUCAAUUAAUCGGUCGUGCCUCUGGUACGCACUGGUUUUAUUGGUUUCUCCCUUCUGACGAACCAGGAUGUCAUUAAUUUGGUGUCUUGGAGAAUCAGGACUGUUACUUUGAAAAAAUUAGAGUGUUUAAAGCAGGCUAACGCUUGAAUACAUUAGCAUGGAAUAAUGAAAUAGGACGUUUGAUCCUAUUUUGUUGGUUUCUAGGAUCGACGUAAUGAUUAAUAGGGAUAGUUGGGGGCAUUAGUAUUCAAUUGUCAGAGGUGAAAUUCUUGGAUUUAUUGAAGACUAACUACUGCGAAAGCAUUUGCCAAGGAUGUUUUCAUUAAUCAAGAACGAAAGUUAGGGGAUCGAAGACGAUCAGAUACCGUCGUAGUCUUAACCAUAAACUAUGCCGACUAGGGAUCGGAUGAUGUAAUUUUU
RNAcentral lists this ribosomal RNA (497 nucleotides) under uncultured Glomus. RNAcentral describes it as "SSU rRNA". It matches the Rfam family "Eukaryotic small subunit ribosomal RNA", at positions 569 to 1070 of the family's 1831-position model. Lineage: Eukaryota; Fungi; Glomeromycota; Glomeromycetes; Glomerales; Glomeraceae. The record is from RNAcentral.